CUCCGCGGGAAGGGCAGGCCCCGGAGGCAGCGAGCGCCCCGGGGGUGGCCGGGCAGCCGGAUGCUCCCGGGGUUGCGGGCUGUGGCCCCGGGGGCUGAGGGCGGCGCGGGUGCGGCGGAAGCAGGGAAGCCGCGAACCGGCCUUCUGGCUGGCCACAGCGCCCUGCACGGACGAUCAGUGAAUGGAGAUUACUCAAGUAUUUAUCGAGAACUUGCAGUGGGCUAGGCACAGUUCAGUUGAACCUUCGUCUUGUGAGGAACAGAAAGAUCAAGAACUCUGAAGCACCUCGACUUUCCACCUGUGAAGAUGUGUUCAAAUUUGCAACGUGCGGCCACACCUAUGAGGUCACUCCCUCUGGAGGAAACCAGCUGCCACUUUGUGAGGAUACUCAUAGUCCUGUGGAGGCAUAUCCUCCAUAUGGCUGAGACCUCCUGCGAACAACCAUCACUGACUUGCCAGACAUGAGUGUGCCACCUUGGAAGCAGAUUUUCCAGCCCCAGUUAAGCCUUCAGAUGACAUCAGCCCCUGCUAAUCUCUUGACUACAACCUCAUGAGAGACCCUGAGCCAGAACUAGCCAGUGCUCCCUGGGAAGCACUGAUCUUGGAUUUGGCUGCUGUGUGGGAGACCAGUGUUCCUCUUAGCUGAUGGUGGAGACUCACGUCAGUGCAGGCUGCAGCGAUGACUCUCAAACUGUGAACAAUGCUCCCCAGUGUGUGCACGGGAGGGCCAGCAUAUGGAGACCUCGCGGAGAGCCAAACGCGGGCUCUCUGCACUUCCUUCAGUUUUGUUUAAAUACAGGAUCCGGUUUGCCUUUGUCACCCGCUGUAGCACCACCAGGCUUCAUUCACUGUGAAGCCUUGCCAGAUCUCUGUAAUAAAUUACCUGGGAGGCCAAGGCGGGAAAAGAGGAAAGAACAAGACUGACCAUCAAGGCUGGACAUCCCUUUCAGUUCUUUUGAGAACAGACUAGUUGGCUAGAUGUGAAGAAAACAAGCUUUGGAGUAAUCUUCCCUCUGCACAGCCUGUGAUAUUGGGAUCCAGUGAGUGACGGUGAGAGGUGGAGAUGUAUGAACGAGACCUGAGACGUUGGACCUGAACAUCACAGCAAUCACUUGCAGGGCUAAGAUUCAGGGCCAGCUGUCCAUGGAUUCUCCCGAGUUGGAUCGUCUUUCACACACCUGCUUCCUGAGGUUACAUCUCUUUUCCAGCCUAGGAGCAACCAAUAAAGAGCAGAGAGCAAAGAAAAGCAGACACACAAAUCAUCUCUAGACUAUGUCAAGGGUAUCCCCAAAAUGGGAAAGAAAUUCAUGAAUGUACACACAAAAUGUCACGUAUUUUUGUUUUACAUUAAAAACACUGUGUCCCAGAAGUAAGGAGUAGAAUGGUGGUUGCCAGGAGCUGAGGGGUUGGGGACAUGGAGAUGCUGGUCAAAGGGUACAAAAUUUCAAUAUGCAGAAUGAAUGAGUUCUGGAGAGCUAAUGUACAGCAUGGUGACCAUAGGUAAUCAUGUGGUAUUAUAUUGUGACAUUUGCUGAGAGUAGGUUUCAAAUGGUCUCACCACAAAAAGGAAAAUGGUAACCAUGUGAGGUGAUGUUUAUGCUAAUUAGCUUGAUUGUGGUAAUCAUUUCACAACAUGUAUGUAUAUCAAAACAUCUCAUUGUACACCUAAAUAUAUACAAUUUGAUUUGUCAAUUGUACAUCAAUAAAGCUGGAAAAAUGUAUUCAAUCCUAUAUAAUAGAUUGGGAAAUUACAUAGCCAUAUCUGAUUAUGAAUUCAGCAAAGCUUUUAAAUAUGUUUUUAUUUUACUAUUCACAAGAGCACCUUGGUGCAUUUGAAAUUAAAUCCUUCAAUGUGGAGAAAACAAAACACUGUCUCACUGAGCACAAAGCUUGUUCAAUAUUUUUGUCAGCGCGAUGUAUUUUUGUUAGCAAUGUUGACCACUGAAAUGAUUUCCUUAGCAGAUAAUUUUCCAGUAAACCUCCCACAUCAUUGCAAACUUCCUGUUCCCAGCUGCUCUUCCUCUUCUUAAGCCCCUCAUUAUAGGCAGUAGGAGAGCUGAUAAUCAGCAGAAAAUUAAGCUGGCAGGGUGUGUGCUUAAAGGCGUCAAUUUCCAAGGGAAGGAAGUGUUCAUUUUGUUUUGUUUUAUUUUGUUUUUAUGAAGCAUUGCUUUUUACUUGUGUUGUGCCUUUUGAACUUAAGCAUUAUUUUUUGACAAUGGAGACUUUUGGUUUAGUGCAGUUCUCUGUAACUGGACAGUACUCAAUAGAAAUUGUUGAAUUGAAUGUUUAACAUAUGCUUCUCUUUGACCAAAUAAGGAAUAUUUUAUGGGCCAUUUUUCAUUUUAGAUGAGCUUAUAGGAAUAGGCACUCUUUGGAAAUUGGAGAAAUUAAUUCUUAGGGAGUGUAGUCCAAGUUUAAUUCUGGGUCUUUGAGUGAUACUUUUAAAACAAGUGCCUUUGACCCUUGAUUAAGUACAAAAUAAGCACAUAGCUAAUGUAAACCUCUUAAAUCAGUGGUUAUCAGGCUUGGCUGCACAGUGGAAUAACCUCAAGUGGGAUGUGUGGGAGAAUUAAAAAAAAAUACUGCUGCCCGGGUCUCAGACUCAGAAAUCCUUAUGUAAUUGGUCUAAUCUACAGCCUGUCUUCAGGGUUUUUAAAAGCUUCCCAGGAGAUGCUAAUGGAUAGCCAAAGCUGACAACCAUUGUCUUUAAUGAAUGAACACAUUUAAUCAGCCUGUACUAAGUACUAGGCACUGACGCUAGGCACCUGUUUCUGUUAUCUUUUAUUAAUGUGGAAAUUGGCACUCAUAGAAGUUGAUUUGUUUACCAUCACAGAGCAGAAAACUGUUGAAGAUGGAAAGCAAACAACAACAACAAAACCUAACAGUCCUAUGGCCUCCCCACAUUCUUUGCCAUUUACAUCAUAGUAGUUAAAAAAUAUGCUGGUGACUGCAAAAGCCAAUGUAUCAACCUUUAAAAUGAAGAAAUAAUGAAAUGAAAACUAACUUUGUUGAAGAUUAGGACAGUCCUUGGGAUGGUAUG
This is a long non-coding RNA of Homo sapiens (human), 3040 nucleotides long. Ensembl annotates it as TRAM2 antisense RNA 1 (head to head). Its record names the gene TRAM2-AS1. Lineage: Eukaryota; Metazoa; Chordata; Mammalia; Primates; Hominidae. The record is from Ensembl.